UACGGAGGGUGCAAGCGUUAUCCGGAUUCACUGGGUUUAAAGGGUGCGUAGGUGGGUUGGUAAGUCAGUGGUGAAAUCUCCGUGCUUAACAUGGAAACUGCCAUUGAUACUACUGAUCUUGAAUUUUCAGGAGGUAAGCAGAAUAUGUCAUGUAGCGGUGAAAUGCUUAGAUAUGACAUAGAACACCAAUUGCGAAGGCAGCUUACUACAGGAAUAUUGACACUGAUGCACGAAAGCGUGGGGAUCAAACAGG
This 253-nucleotide ribosomal RNA is filed under the name uncultured bacterium. Its description in RNAcentral is "partial 16S ribosomal RNA". It matches the Rfam family "Bacterial small subunit ribosomal RNA", at positions 524 to 776 of the family's 1533-position model. The record is from RNAcentral.